CACCUAAAACCGCACUGCAACAGU
RNAcentral lists this non-coding RNA (24 nucleotides) under Arabidopsis thaliana (thale cress). Lineage: Eukaryota; Viridiplantae; Streptophyta; Magnoliopsida; Brassicales; Brassicaceae. The record is from RNAcentral.